RNAcentral lists this ribosomal RNA (469 nucleotides) under Salmonella enterica. RNAcentral's name for it is "bacterial SSU rRNA". It matches the Rfam family "Bacterial small subunit ribosomal RNA", at positions 1 to 468 of the family's 1533-position model. The record is from RNAcentral. Lineage: Bacteria; Pseudomonadati; Pseudomonadota; Gammaproteobacteria; Enterobacterales; Enterobacteriaceae.
AAAUUGAAGAGUUUGAUCAUGGCUCAGAUUGAACGCUGGCGGCAGGCCUAACACAUGCAAGUCGAACGGUAGCACAGAGAGCUUGCUCUCGGGUGACGAGUGGCGGACGGGUGAGUAAUGUCUGGGAAACUACCUGAUGGAGGGGGAUAACUACUGGAAACGGUGGCUAAUACCGCAUAACGUCGCAAGACCAAAGAGGGGGACCUUCGGGCCUCUUGCCAUCAGAUGUGCCCAGAUGGGAUUAGCUUGUUGGUGAGGUAACGGCUCACCAAGGCGACGAUCCCUAGCUGGUCUGAGAGGAUGACCAGCCACACUGGAACUGAGACACGGUCCAGACUCCUACGGGAGGCAGCAGUGGGGAAUAUUGCACAAUGGGCGCAAGCCUGAUGCAGCCAUGCCGCGUGUAUGAAGAAGGCCUUCGGGUUGUAAAGUACUUUCAGCGGGGAGGAAGGUGUUGUGGUUAAUAACC